ACCCUAUGGAAAGUGCCACAGAAACAUACCGCCCCGAUUUAAACGGAGCAAGGGUGAAAUGGUGAGGUAAGAGCUCACCAGCGGCUGGGUGACCAGCUGGCUGGGUAAACCCCAUCUGGAGCAAGACCAAAUAGAGGGAUAAAAGGACGCCCGGCCUGUCCCUGGGUUGGUCGCUUGACCCUGAUGGUAACAUCAGGGCUAGAUAGAUGGUCACCGCUCCGACCAGAGCACCCAGAAAAAUCUAUGAUUUUCCUGGGAACCUGCGACUUGGAGUACAGAACUCGGCUUAUAGGUUUACUUGACCU
RNAcentral lists this RNase P RNA (305 nucleotides) under Dehalococcoidia bacterium. Its description in RNAcentral is "partial RNase P RNA component class A". It matches the Rfam family "Bacterial RNase P class A", at positions 97 to 367 of the family's 367-position model. Rfam says of the family: Ribonuclease P (RNase P) is a ubiquitous endoribonuclease, found in archaea, bacteria and eukarya as well as chloroplasts and mitochondria. Lineage: Bacteria; Bacillati; Chloroflexota; Dehalococcoidia. The record is from RNAcentral.